Molecule: ribosomal RNA, 403 nt
Filed under: Ophiostoma brevicolle
Lineage: Eukaryota; Fungi; Ascomycota; Sordariomycetes; Ophiostomatales; Ophiostomataceae
Description: eukaryotic LSU rRNA
Rfam family: Eukaryotic large subunit ribosomal RNA
Source: RNAcentral
UUGACUCGGAUCAGGUAGGACUACCCGCUGAACUUAAGCAUAUCAAUAAGCGGAGGAAAGAAACCAACAGGAUUGCCCCAGUAACGCGAGUGAAGCGCAACAGCUCAAUUUGAAUCUGGCCCACCGGGCGAGUUGUAAUUUGGAGAGGAUGCUUCUGGCGCGGCGCCGUCCGAGUUCCUUGGAACAGGACGCCACAGAGGGUGAGAGCCCCGUACGGACGGACGGCCAGCCUAUACGAAGCUCCUUCGACGAGUCGAGUAGUUUGGGAAUGCUGCUCAAAAUGGGAGGUAAAUUUCUUCUAAAGCUAAAUACCGGCCAGAGACCGAUAGCGCACAAGUAGAGUGAUCGAAAGAUGAAAGCACUUUGAAAGAGGGUUAAAAGUACGUGAAUUGUUGAAAGGGAG